GGGCCGCGCCACCGCCGCCCCGCCCGCUCCGCCGCGCCGGCCGCUGGAGCGAGCGCCACCCGGGCCACCUGGCUGCGGCGAAGCGGCGAGACUCGGUGGCCACCGCGGGACUCCGAGGAGCUGCGGCCGCUGAGCGCAUCGGAGGGCGGGCGCGCCGAGGCGCCGGGUGGGAGCGGAGCAUCUUCACUUCUGCGGGGACCUAGUUUGCCCCCACCUGAUGCAACCCAGAAAAUGGACUGACUGCGAGUGCCUUGGGGCGGAGAAUGUGUCUUGCUACGUGUAAAGCACCUAGAACCCUGCCAGAUUCAGGGGACACAGCAUCCUGCCGUUUUCCUGCCGUCCCCCGCCCGCCACACAGUAGGCGCUCCAGUGGCUCGGGGCAUCUACCAGGCAGGCCGCGCUGUCCUGCCCUGCCGGGGCUGGAGUGGAGCAACCCUCCGGGGCCACCCACAUCUGGGUACCUUUUCCCCACUUUUUCCACCCCAGCCGCGCACAGUCACCAGAAAACUCUUUUAGAAAUACAAACACUUGGCCUGGCGCGGUGGCUCACACCUGUAAUCCCAGCACUCUGGGAGGCCGAGGCGGAUGGAUCACCUGAGGUCAGGAGUUCAAGACCAGCGUGGCCAACAUGGUGAAACCCCAUCGCUACUAAAAAUACGAAAAAAUUAGCUGGGCGUGGUGGUGGGCAUCUGUGAUCUCAGCUACGCAGGAUGCUGAGGCAGGAGAAUCGCUUGAACCCAGGAGGCGGAGGUUACAGUGACCAAAGAGGGCACCACUGCACUCCAGCCUGGGCAACAAGAGCGAAACUUUAUCUAAAAAAAAUAAAAAUAAAAAAAUACAAUCACUUUUCUCUGAUUGGAAUCAAGGUCCCAGAAUACAAUCUUAAGAACAAGUUUUGGCCAGUGUGGUGGCUCACGCCUGUAAUCCCAGCACUUUGGGAGGCAGUGGCCGGUGGAUCACCUGAGGUCAGGAGUUCGAGACCAGCCUGGCCAAUUUUUAGUAGAGCCCAUCUCUACUAAAAAUACAAAAAUUAGCUGGGUGUGGUGAUGCGCACCUGUAGUCCCAGCUACUUGGGAGGCUGAGGCAGGAGAAUGGUGUGAACCUGGGAGGCGGUGCUUGCAGUGAGCGGAGAUCACACCACUGCACUCCAGCCUGGGCGACAGAGCGAGACUCCGUC
Molecule: long non-coding RNA, 1177 nt
Filed under: Homo sapiens (human)
Lineage: Eukaryota; Metazoa; Chordata; Mammalia; Primates; Hominidae
Description: HSALNT0370484
Source: RNAcentral